AAAAAAAAUCAAAAUUUCAUCAUCAAUAAAAAAUACUAACCAAGACAACAAAAAAAUCAAAGACGGUGGCGAACUGGCGGAAGUCAAAAUCCGGUGGAGCCGACACCGGGAAUACUCCAUUCUGAGGCUCAAAAAACACUAAGAGAGAUAAAACUUUGAAAAGCUGCCGGCCUGGAUGACUAGAAAAAAACUCAGAUAAUCUAAAACUUAUUGAGGAGGAAAACAUACACAUUGCGAAGGGCAAAUGGGUUUUUCUGAAAGAAGGGGUACCAUGGAUGCCUUCCUUAUUCGCACUGUCUGGCCUGUUGUAAAAAUGCAUCAACAGAGGGAAGUAUAUAUGUGUUGCAUAGAUUAUACAAAAGCUUUUGACUGUAUCAAUCCGACCACACUCUUAGAACUGCAGGAACGAAUAGGUGUCGAUGCCCAAGAUAUAAAAAUCGUUCAAAAUCUUUAUGAACAACAAGUGGCAUCGGUCAAGCAGGAAAACAUCGAGACAAGCACCGUACCGACAAGACGGGUAGUCAGACGAGGGUGUGUACUUAGUCCCAUGCUUUUUAAUACGUAUUCAGCAUCUAUUUUACAAAACGCUUAGAACGAGGCAGUAGACGGUCUGAAAGUCAAUGGGAAUUUCAUAAACAACUUAAUAUAUAUAUAUGCCGAAACAGCGCUACAGCGAUAAUGGCAGACAGUUCUGAUGGGCUGAAACGCAUAAUCGACAGCAUUCCAAUUUCGGACAAAAUUGGACUGAGGAUUAAUAUCUCCAAAACGAAGGUCAUGCUAAUAAGUUGCAAUCCGAACAACUACUUCGACAUAAACAUAUACGGUUUUCCAAUCGUUUUCCAAUCGAGCAAGUCAAAAAAUUUAUAUACCUAGGAAGUUGGAUCAGCGAUGAUCUCAUCCUGGAGAAAUUAAUCAGAUGCCACUUAGAGCAAGCUAGAGCCCAUUUUAUUAAAAUGGGGAACCUGAAACUGACAGGAAACCCAAUUUAACCAUAAUUUUUAAUUUUUAAUUUCGUUAGAUGUGUAUUCCACGGUACUAUAUGGAAUCGAGGCCUGGACGCUAAAAGUCAGCAGCAUUAACAGGCUGGAAGCAUUUGAGAUGUGGGUGUACCGCGUAAUGCUGCGCGGUCUAUGGAAGAUCAUACCACCAAUCUAAAGGUCUUACAUAGAAUAAACAAAGACCGAACAAUUCUCGAGACCAUAAAGAAGCGAAAGACUGCUUACCUUUUAUAUGUCAUGAGACAUGACAAGUACAGAUGCCUGCAACUGAUUAUGGAGGGCAAGAUUGAGGGCAAGAUUGAUUGAAAACAUGGUCCUGGACGUAGACAGUGCUUUUGGUUAAAGAACAUUAGGAAUUGGACAGGCUUAAAUUCAAGCUCUCUGUUAAGAAGAACCCAAAACAAAGACGAAUUUUCCAGAAUGAUUACUGAUCUUUACUGAGUGGAGAAGGCACUUCCAGAAGAAGAAUAAAAGUCUUAAUAUCAUUUUGAGUAGUACUAAAUACAUGCUUAUUUUUUUGUGUAACUUCAUAUCCUACUGAUUCUUGAGUAAUAAUAUUAAAUGUUUUGGUUUCAAAUAUAUGUACGGCACAAAGUUGA
Long non-coding RNA from Dendroctonus ponderosae (mountain pine beetle), 1597 nucleotides. RefSeq lists it as uncharacterized. The record is from RefSeq and is a predicted model, not a curated record. The transcript has 2 exons. Lineage: Eukaryota; Metazoa; Arthropoda; Insecta; Coleoptera; Curculionidae.